Molecule: long non-coding RNA, 605 nt
Filed under: Anas platyrhynchos platyrhynchos (common mallard)
Lineage: Eukaryota; Metazoa; Chordata; Aves; Anseriformes; Anatidae
Description: lncRNA (ENSAPLG00000017153.1)
Source: RNAcentral
UGCAUUUCGUUUAUGCUUUAAUUUGUCCUUUAAUCGUUCUUCAAAAUGAUCUGAGUUUUUGCAGGUGAACGGGUUUCUGCUGGUGGGUUCUGAGCUCUUGGCUUGUCCUUGGGAGACUUCAUUUCAUGCUGUCCUCUUCUGCAGGUUACAGCUUGGAAAAGAGCAAAAUAUGGAUCACUGCAGAAGACAGAGUUGGGGGAUGAAGAGUUAUUAACACAGCCCACCUCCUCCUUGAAAAUUGCAUGUGAAAUUGGCAGGAGUGAUGUAGUGACAAAUUCCAGCGUCUCAGCAGAAUCAUGGAAUAUCAGCUUUAUGAGUAGGACUGCUCUGAAAUGUUUAUACAAAAUGAUUUUUAGUGGAAGAAUUAGCUUCAGUUACAAAUAAUCUUUGGAAACUUCUUGUUUUUAUAAGAAAAACUAAUUUUCUGAAAGCUCCCUGUUUUUUAAUACCAGACCAAAUUUUUCUAGAUAAACAAGAAAACCUUUUAAAAUCAAAACUGAAAAAUGUACAUAUUAAAUUGCUCUUGCUUUCAGAUUAACUUGUUUUCUGCUUCUAAUGCUUGGUCAGGAAAUAAAUAUAUUGACAAAAGAUAAAGUGAAUUGAAC